Molecule: ribosomal RNA, 301 nt
Filed under: uncultured bacterium
Lineage: Bacteria
Description: partial 16S ribosomal RNA
Rfam family: Bacterial small subunit ribosomal RNA
Source: RNAcentral
CAGCCGCCGCGGGAAUACGUAGGUGGCAAGCGUUGUCCGGAAUUAUUGGGCGUAAAGGGCUCGCAGGCGGUUUCUUAAGUCUGAUGUGAAAGCCCCCGGCUCAACCGGGGAGGGUCAUUGGAAACUGGGAAACUUGAGUGCAGAAGAGGAGAGUGGAAUUCCACGUGUAGCGGUGAAAUGCGUAGAGGUGUGGAGGAACACCAGUGGCGAAGGCGACUCUCUGGUCUGUAACUGACGCUGAGGAGCGAAAGCGUGGGGAGCGAACAGGAUUAGAGACCCCUGUAGUCCCUGUCUCUUAUAC